This 207-nucleotide long non-coding RNA is filed under the name Fukomys damarensis (Damara mole-rat). RNAcentral describes it as "lncRNA (ENSFDAG00000031006.1)". Lineage: Eukaryota; Metazoa; Chordata; Mammalia; Rodentia; Bathyergidae. The record is from RNAcentral.
UUGGAGUUAGACAAGAGAGGAAUUUUGGGUGCUUGUGUAAGACAGCAACAGACUACUCAAGGCAUUCAAGUCUAAAACCCCUCCCACUUCUCAUCUGUAUACCAAUUUGCAAAGUUUCUUCUCAUUACUCCACUUGAAAAUGAUCUGAACAUUCAGUUUUAGAGAGACAGAAUGCACUGGACAAUUAAAGAGAUAAUUAUUUUCCUG